RNAcentral lists this ribosomal RNA (424 nucleotides) under uncultured bacterium. Its description in RNAcentral is "bacterial SSU rRNA". It matches the Rfam family "Bacterial small subunit ribosomal RNA", at positions 354 to 796 of the family's 1533-position model. The record is from RNAcentral.
GUGGGGAAUAUUGCACAAUGGGCGAAAGCCUGAUGCAGCAACGCCGCGUGAGCGAUGAAGGCCUUCGGGUCGUAAAGCUCUGUCCUCAAGGAAGAUAAUGACGGUACUUGAGGAGGAAGCCCCGGCUAACUACGUGCCAGCAGCCGCGGUAAUACGUAGGGGGCUAGCGUUAUCCGGAAUUACUGGGCGUAAAGGGUGCGUAGGCGGUCUUUCAAGCCAGAAGUGAAAGGCUACGGCUCAACCGUAGUAAGCUUUUGGAACUGUAGGACUUGAGUGCAGGAGAGGAGAGUGGAAUUCCUAGUGUAGCGGUGAAAUGCGUAGAUAUUAGGAGGAACACCAGUAGCGAAGGCGGCUCUCUGGACUGUAACUGACGCUGAGGCACGAAAGCGUGGGGAGCAAACAGGAUUAGAAACCCGGGUAGUCC